AGCUGCAGAUAUGGUGACAGCCCCAACGGGUUAGGCAUGGGAUCAUGGAAUAGGACCCUGUCCUCCUAUUUUCAGUUGGUUUUGGCAGCGCGAGGACUAGGGUAAUGAUUAAUAGGGAUAGUUGGGGGCAUUAAUAUUUAAUUGUCAGAGGUGAAAUUCUUGGAUUUAUGAAAGAUUAACUUCUGCGAAAGCAUCUGCCAAGGAUGUUUUCAUUAAUCAAGAACGAAAGUUAGGGGAUCGAAGACGAUCAGAUACCGUCGUAGUCUUAACCAUAAACGAUGCCGACCAGCGAUUAGGAGACGUUGAAUACAAAACACCACCAUCGGCGCGGUCGUCCUUGGCGUCUCUGUCCCUUUCAACGGGGGCAGGCGCGAGGGCGGUUUAGCCCGGUGGCACCGGUGAAUGACUCC
Molecule: ribosomal RNA, 410 nt
Filed under: Acanthamoeba sp. MN-2012
Lineage: Eukaryota; Discosea; Longamoebia; Acanthamoebidae
Description: SSU rRNA
Rfam family: Eukaryotic small subunit ribosomal RNA
Source: RNAcentral